CGCGAAUGGCUCAUUAUAACAGCUAUAAUUUACUUGAUCUUGACACAAUCCUACUUGGAUAACUGUGGUAAUUCUAGAGCUAAUACAUGCAUUAAAGCUCUGACCUCACGGGAAGAGUGCAUUUAUUAGAACAAAACCAAGCGGCUUCGGCUGUUUCUGGUUGACUCAUAGUAACUGAGCUGGUCGCACGGCCUUGCACCGGCGACGUGCCUUUCAAGUAUCUGCCGUAUCAACUUUCGAUGGUAGUGUAUCUGACUACCAUGGUGAUCACGCGUAACGGAGAAUAAGGGUUCGGCUCCGGAGAGUUCGCCUGAGAAAUCGCGAACACAUCUAAGGAAGGCAGCAGGCGCGAAAAUUAACCACUCUCAGCACGAGGAGGUAGUGACGAAAAAUAACGAGACCGUUCUCUUAUGAGGCCGGUCAUCGGAAUGGGUACAAUUUAAACCCUUUAACGAGCAUCUAUGAGAGGGCAAGUCUGGUGCCAGCAGCCGCGGUAAUUCCAGCU
RNAcentral lists this ribosomal RNA (505 nucleotides) under Cervidellus vexilliger. Its description in RNAcentral is "SSU rRNA". It matches the Rfam family "Eukaryotic small subunit ribosomal RNA", at positions 88 to 590 of the family's 1831-position model. The record is from RNAcentral. Lineage: Eukaryota; Metazoa; Nematoda; Chromadorea; Rhabditida; Cephalobidae.